Molecule: non-coding RNA, 45 nt
Organism: Schistosoma margrebowiei
Lineage: Eukaryota; Metazoa; Platyhelminthes; Trematoda; Strigeidida; Schistosomatidae
Source: Rfam
GUUCAGUUGACGAGUCCUAAAUAGGACGAAACACGUGUCCAAGAU